RNAcentral lists this ribosomal RNA (568 nucleotides) under uncultured bacterium. RNAcentral's name for it is "partial 16S ribosomal RNA". It matches the Rfam family "Bacterial small subunit ribosomal RNA", at positions 355 to 914 of the family's 1533-position model. The record is from RNAcentral.
UGGGGAAUAUUGCACAAUGGGCGCAAGCCUGAUGCAGCCAUGCCGCGUGUGUGAAGAAGGCCUUCGGGUUGUAAAGCACUUUCAGCGAGGAGGAAGGUGGUGAACUUAAUACGUUCAUCAAUUGACGUUACUCGCAGAAGAAGCACCGGCUAACUCCGUGCCAGCAGCCGCGGUGAUACGGAGGGUGCAAGCGUUAAUCGGAAUUACUGGGCGUAAAGCGCACGCAGGCGGUUUGUUAAGUCAGAUGUGAAAUCCCCGGGCUCAACCUGGGAACUGCAUUUGAAACUGGCAAGCUAGAGUCUCGUAGAGGGGGGUAGAAUUCCAGGUGUAGCGGUGAAAUGCGUAGAGAUCUGGAGGAAUACCGGUGGCGAAGGCGGCCCCCUGGACGAAGACUGACGCUCAGGUGCGAAAGCGUGGGGAGCAAACAGGAUUAGAUACCCUGGUAGUCCACGCUGUAAACGAUGUCGAUUUUGGAGGUUGUGCCCUUGAGGCGUGGCUUCCGGAGCUAACGCGUUAAAUCGACCGCCUGGGGAGUACGGCCGCAAGGUUAAAACUCAAAUGAAUUGAC